This 26412-nucleotide long non-coding RNA is filed under the name Vitis vinifera (wine grape). RNAcentral describes it as "long non-coding RNA (VVIN_LNC000434)". The record is from RNAcentral. Lineage: Eukaryota; Viridiplantae; Streptophyta; Magnoliopsida; Vitales; Vitaceae.
CCUGCUGUCUGCAAAUUUGGAUGACAGGGCUAGCCUCAGCUGAUCUUGAGUGUAAAACCUACUUCCCAUCUUCACGGUUGCCUGUUGGAUCAUCAAAUCAUUCACCACCGACACACUCGCGUGGUUCACAUCUAGGUCCAGCUCCUUGAGAGCCCCCAUAAGCUUUGCAGCAGGAUGGUUCUUUUUACUACACUGAAUUCGAAUCAUGGCAUCCCACCCGAUUAUCUUCACAUCAAUAUCCAUUUCUACCAAUUUGCUACCGUGGUGAUUCGACAUCUUGAGAUCUUGGUCUGGAGGUGGUCGAGAUGAACCGGAGUACUGUGAAUCUUUACUAGCCAACUCCUUCUUCAUUGAAUUCACUUCCUUCUGAAGGUCCUCCUUGUCCGACUCUGCACUUUGUAGCUUUGUCCUGAGCUCAUUGAUAUAUGAAAUUGCAUCACCAAGAAGGGAGGCUUUAUCCAUCUUUGACACAUUUGGAACCACAGCUCGGAGGGCAUAAAACCUCUGGUUAAGCUUCUCCCUCCUCUGCCGCUCUGCCUCCACAUGAUUCAAUGGCUCUUCCCUUCCAUUUGCAGGUUUUCUCCCACGCUUCCUAGGCCUUUUUUCUGGUUCCACCACUCUACUACUAUCUGCCUCCCGAACCACUGAAGCUUCAAGAUCCGAGUGAUCAGAAUCUCCACCACCACCACUUGACUUCACCACACAAGAGGAUGGCAAUAUCACACCUGAAGUAAACGAAAGCAUGCCUUCUUCGGCACUUCCUCUUGAAGUCGGUGACCUCCUCUUCUUAUUUUCCUCUGCAACUACCUGUGAAUGACCUGAAAACAUAUUCCCAUUCGCACUACAAGAACUCCUCUUACUGUCUCCAAAAUUCAAAAUUUCCCCAGACUCGGGCUUCAGGGAAUGCAAGUUACCAUUUCUCCCAUUAUUUCCAUCAAAUCCAAAUUCUGAGAAAUUCAACUCCCUAGUGAAAAAACCCUGCGUGUGAAUCUGCUGUUGCUGCUGAGGAUUAUGCAUAAUACUAGGGUUUUCAGUUAAACUACUUGAGCUAGGGUUCUCAAAUUGAAUUGACUUGGAAUUCUGCUGAUUACCAAUGGGAUUGGAAGCUCCAGUAGCUGUAGCAUUCACAGAAUCCUUGAUUUCGACAUUAGAGGUCGGAUCGGAGAUCCAGAGCGACGAAGGAUCGCUCUCGCCCUGGUCGGGAGCGGCGGCUCCGAUCGGCCAUGAACCAACUUCAAGGUUAUUGAAAUUGAACAAAACUCUAACCUUGUUCAUCAGAUCUGAGCUCUGGUAAAUCAAUUCGGUGGAGCCCAGUUCGACGACGCCGUUAGCCGAUGGUAUACAAACCAUAGUCUGUAACCCGAACACCUGCGCCUGCCGGGCUCUCUCGCAAGGAGAACUCAUGAGCCGUUCGGUUCCGACAACCCACACCGGACUCGAGUUGAAGAGCGCCUGACCCGGCAACCCAGCGCCGUUCACAAACGACUGAGUCAUCGAUACAAGGAAGAACCACUCGGUGUCGGUGACCUCCUCAUCGACAGCGUCGUCCGACGACGACGCCGUCCCAGAAAUGAGCGAAUUCAGCUCCCGGAGCACUUUCUUCCGGUGCUCCUGCUCGGAAACAGACGACGGGGUCAUCUUCCUCUUCCCUUUAUCUUCCUCACCUUUAUAGUAGCCGUCACCCCAUCCUAACAAAGAGGCACCCGAGAAAUCAACGCUGGACUGCCAAAAAAUUGCGUAGGUCCAGCUCUCUCGGGCGCCUUCAAUUAGGGCUUGAAGUCGCUGCUGGAGGGUCUCCUGGUUGAAGACGGCCAUGGAAGGCUGAGAUUGGGCGAGAUUCCUUGACGGGUCAGGCGCAGGAGUAGACGUAGAAGCAGCGGAGGAUGGCCCCCAACUAAAGGAAGAGAGAUCAGAGCUUAUAAAAGCCUCCAUCAUAGAAGCGUUAUCGUCGGUCCACAGAUUCAUGGUUGGCACACGAUAUUCCGUCAUUCCAUACACCAGAAAAACCACGACUGAUAAGAGGAAAUUUAAAUUUUCUGCUGUGAAAAGGGGUUUAGCGGUGAAAUACCACUUCAGUGGCAGAGGCAGAGGGAUAGAGAAAGUGGUGGUAUGAAUGGAGCGGUGGGGUGAUGGAGGUGGUGAUAAGUGGUGGUGGUCGGGGAGGGGAAUUUGGAUUGCAUUUGGAUUUGGGGUUUAUUUGAAGUGAAUUUGGGACGAAUUUGAGUGGUUGGAUGAAAGAGGGAGUGGGACAGAGGAGGCGGGUUCCACAAAGCCUACGCCGAUUUAAUCGCAGCGUCUAAUCGUGUAAGCCGGCGUAUCUAGUACCACUAGACGAAGCAAGAUGGUAGCUUCUGGACGUGGCACGUGCUGCACACGUGUCAAUUCUUUGAAAGGGCUUUGACUGGGUACAUCUGCAAGACCCUUUUUGAAACUGAGAAGAUGACUGGAAGCUGAGCUCUCCCGUGUCUCUGGCCUGCACAAUUUUUAGGUGACUUCGCACUUACUAGUUUUAUUCAUAAUCAGUAUAAACCAUUCCUUUCUAAUUUCAAUAACUAAUGAUCAAUUUAACAAACCGUUUAUAAUAAUCAAAUCAUAAAGAACCUUAAUAAAUGUUUGUUAUAUAAAAUUAAAAAUCAUAUAAAAGCUAAGGCUCUAUAAAAAAACAAUUUUUAAAAAUAAUUUUUAAAGGUGUUUUAUUAUAUUUUAUAAAAUAAAAAUUUAUUUGAAAACAUGAUAAUUAAUAAUCUUAUGUUAUGAUUCACCGUAAAUCCUGUUUAAUGUGCAUAACAUAUAUUAGUGCACUCAUCAUGGGAAAACAUCCAGAUGAACAAAACAAGUUAUCCCUCCCUUUAAGAGACAAUGUAUUAUAUUCUCAAAUGAACUAUUCAAAUUCAUGAACCAAUUACGAAUUAUACAUCACUUUAUAAAGAACCCAUUAUUUGAAUUUUCUAUAUAACUCUUAAUGCAUUGAAGUCAUAAAUAAUAUAAAUGAUGUAAGCAUGUAUUCUCAAAUAACCAAUUAAUACUUAUGGGAUAAAAAAAAAAUUUUAAAUAAAAACUAAGAAACAUAGAUAAAGAAAUGAAUUCAAUCUAUUGCAUCAUAUUAUCUAGGGAGCAAUCCCUACACACCAGGGCUAAAAUUAUUCACUUAAAUAAAUGGUGAAUCAAAAUGUCAUAAGGCGUGAAUCACAACCAGUUAGGAAAUGUCUCAAAUUCCUAAUUAGUAUAGAUUCUUUUUUUGUAAAAAAUAUUAUAUAGAAUAUUUCUAGGUUGAUAUAUUAUUGUAAUAUUAGACUUCCUUAUAGAAUAAGGAAGGUUGUUGGAAAUAUCUCUAUAAAUAUUAUAAGUCAUAAGGGGAAAAAGUUAUGAGAUGGAGAUGGACCUGUAGAGACUAUACGAUGUGGAUAAAGAUGUGAGGAAUAACGGGAAGUACCCUGUGGAGCGUGAGGGCUGGUAGUAGGGUAUGGAUACAAGGAGGGGGAAAAGUCAUGAGAUGGAGAUGGACCUAUAGAGACUAUACGAUGUGGAUAAAGAUGUGAGGAAUAACGGGAGGUACUCUGUGGAGCGAGAGGGCUCGUAGUAGGGUAUGGAUACAAGGAGGGGGAAAAGUCAUGAGAUGGAGAUGGACCUGUAGAGACUAUACAAGGUGGAUAAAGAUGUGAGGAAGAACGGGAGGUACUCUGUGGAGCAAGAGGACUCGUAGUAGGGUAUGUAUACAAGGAGUGGGGAAACAUGGGAUGUUUCGGGAACCCAAUAGUUGUAUCUAGUUUUGUCCUCUGUAAUAUUCUCUAUUGUAUAAUGGAAUCAUUAUCUCUCAUCCGUGGACGUAGGCAUGGUUGGCCGAAGACACAAACCUUUUUGUAUCAUAUCACCACGAAAGAGCAAUCGACUCCAUCUUCAGUGAAAAUUCCUUUUGUUUUCAUCUUGUGUGCUUUGUGAUCUUUUACUCUUCCAGAAAUCUUCAACUCAAGCUCUAAUACCACUUGUUAUGCCAACGAAAGCUUUGAUGUCAACAAUGUUAGUUCAAGAAUACAAAGAUAAAACAAUCAUACAUACAGUACACGAGGUUUUAACGUGGUUCAUUCAACCAUGCCUAUGUCCAUGGAUGAGAGAUAAUGAUUCCACUAUACAAUAGAGAAUAUUAUAGAGGACAUAACUAGAUACAACUAUUGGGUUCCCGAAACAUCUCAUGUUUCCCCACUCCUUGUAUNNNNNNNNNNNNNNNNNNNNNNNNNNNNNNNNNNNNNNNNNNNNNNNNNNNNNNNNNNNNNNNNNNNNNNNNNNNNNNNNNNNNNNNNNNNNNNNNNNNNNNNNNNNNNNNNNNNNNNNNNNNNNNNNNNNNNNNNNNNNNNNNNNNNNNNNNNNNNNNNNNNNNNNNNNNNNNNNNNNNNNNNNNNNNNNNNNNNNNNNNNNNNNNNNNNNNNNNNNNNNNNNNNNNNNNNNNNNNNNNNNNNNNNNNNNNNNNNNNNNNNNNNNNNNNNNNNNNNNNNNNNNNNNNNNNNNNNUGUAUCCAUACCCUAUUACGAGCCCUCUUGCUCCACAGAGUACCUCCCGUUCUUCCUCACAUCUCUAUCUACCUCAUAUAGUCUAAACAGGUCCAUCUUCAUCUCAUCAUAACUUUUUCCUCUCAUGACCUAGAAUAUUUAUAGAGAUAUUUCCAACAACCUUCCUUAUUCUAUAAGGAAGUCUAAUAUUACAAUAAUAUAUCAACCUAGAAAUAUUCUAUAUAAUAUUCUUUACAAAAAAAGAAUCUAUACUAAUUAGGAAUUUGGGACACUUCCUAACAAUCUCCACCUUGGACCAAAUUCCAUGAAGUUAAUCUUCAAUCUCUCCAUGACACAAACCUUUUUGUAUCAUAUCACCACGAAAGAGCAAUCAACUCCACAUUCAGUGAAAAUUCCUUUUGUUUUCAUCUUGUGUGCUUUAUGAUCUUUUAAUGUUCCAGAAAUCUUCAACNNNNNNNNNNNNNNNNNNNNNNNNNNNNNNNNNNNNNNNNNNNNNNNNNNNNNNNNNNNNNNNNNNNNNNNNNNNNNNNNNNNNNNNNNNNNNNNNNNNNGCCAGCGAAAGCUUUGAUGCCAACAAUGUUAGCUCAAGAACACAUAAAUAAAACAAUCACACAUACGGUACACGAGGUUUUAACAUAGUUAACCCAACCAUUCCUACGUCCACGGAUGAGAUGGAGAUGGGUCUGUAGAGACUAUACGAGGUGGAUAGAGAUGUGAGGAAGAACAGGAGGUACCCAGUGGAACGAGAGGGCUCAUAGUAAGGUAUGGAUACAAGGAGUGGGGAAACAUGUGAUGGAGAUGGACCUAUAGAGACUAUACGAGGUGGAUAGAGAUGUGAGGAAGAACGGGAGGUACUCUAUGGAGCGAGAGGGCUCGUAAUAGGGUAUGGAUACAAGGAGUGGGGAAACAUGAAAUGUUUCGAGAACCCAAUAGUUGUAUCUGGUUCUGUCCUCUGUAAUAUUCUCUAUUAUAUAGUGGAAUCAUUAUCUCUCAUUCGUGGACGUAGGCAUGGUUGACCGAACCACGUUAAAACCCCGUGUACCGUAUGUGUGAUUGUUUUAUCUUUGUGUUCUUGAAUUAACAUUAUUGACAUCAAAGCUUUCGCUGGCAUAACAACUGGUAUUAGAGUUUGGGUUGAAGAUUUCUGGAAGAGUAAAAGAUCACAAAGCACACAAGAUGAAAAAAAAAAAAGAAUUUUCACUUAAGGUAGAGUUGAUUGCUCUUUCGAUAUGAUACAAAAAGGUUUGUGUCAUGGAGAGAUUGAAGAUUAAUUUCAUGGAAUUUGGUCCAAGAUGGAAAUUGUUAGGAAGUGUCCCAAAUUCCUAAUAAGUAUAGAUUCCUUUUUUGUAAAUAAUACUAUAUAGAAUAUUUUCUAAGCUGAUAUAUUAUUGUAAUAUUAGACUUCCUUAUAGAAUAAGGAAGGUUGUUAGAAAUAUCUCUAUAAAUAUUUUAGGUUAUGAGGGGAAAAAGUUAUGAGAUGAAGAUGAGCUUAUAAAGACUAUAUGAAGUGGAUAGAGAUGUGAGGAAGAAUGGGAGGUACCCGGUGGAGUGAGAGGGCUCAUAGUAGGGUAUGGAUACAAAGAGUGAGGAAACAUGAGAUGUUUCGGAAACCCAAUAGUUGUAUCUGGUUUUAUCCUCUAUAAUAUUCUCUAUUGUAUAAUGGAAUCAUUCUCUCUCAUCUGUGGACGUAGGCAUGGUUGGCUAAACCACGUUAAAACCUCGUGUACCGUAUGUAUAAUUGUUUUAUCUUUGUGUUCUUAAACUAACAUUGUUGACAUCAAAGCUUUCGCUGACACAACACAACCUAAUUAAUAUAAAUAUCAUCAUAUUUCAUAGUUCAUACUUCAAAUUCAUUAAUCAUAUUAUUUUUAAAUAUCAAGUUGAAUCAUGAUUUCAAACAUUAGGAUGUGACACACCAUAUGGAUAAUCAUGGCUCUUAAGUUCUCGGUGAUCAAGACAAUAAUGAUCAAUUAAUGAGUCAGUUAAUAUGAAAAUAUUUGAAGUUUUUUUUUCAUAUAUUUUCAAAUUAGUGAAGGAAAUUCAAUUUUCUCAAUUUUAAUUAUUAUUAUUAGAAUUAACUUGCAAAUAAUUACAUCAUGGCAUCUGCUUGUAUCACAGAAUCCUCGUAAUUUUAUUUGAAAAUAAUUAUUUUAAAAAAGGCCCAACGAAAUUGAAGAAGAGUUAGUUUAAACAGUGUCCAGGAUGAUUUAAUCCAACCGCGUAAAAGUUCUGAUUAGAUGUUUUUCGGGGUUGGGGCCUCCACGAGGGUGGAGCCGCCAGCAGUAACCAAAUAAUCGCGGGGCACCCCGAAAUAAUCGGCAGUCAAAUUGACUCUAGUUAACUAAUUUGCCCUAACUCUAGUUAGAUGUUUUCUAAGAUAUGAUUUGAGAUAAAGACAAAGCAAAAUAAAGAAAAAAAAUUACAAAAUAGUGGGGUCCACAUUUGGUGUCACGAGACACAGAAAUUGUGGCCCUUGAUGGGGUCGUCCUCCUCCGUCCGAUGCUCAUAUAAAUUGCUUAAAUUAAUAAUAAAAAUAUUAUUUUUUGCGGCACGUUUUGCUCGAUGCGUGUCGUGAAAAUAACGUCUAUUCAAUGGAUAUUUUUAAAUGUUGGGGCACGUGGACAAUGAACUACUUUGCAAAUGUAAAAACCACUGGAGCAAUUUCAUAUCUUAUUGCGUUUUUGUAAAACUGCCCUUCACUUUUGGGCUAUUUAUAAACUCUCACUUUAUUUGUGCAAUUUCAAGUUCUCGCCUGCAUGAUGGGUUCCGCUGGAGACGUGGAGUCAACAUAGGAAGUUGCUUUCAAAAAUCACUUUUGGGAUAUUAUAUUUUAAUAUUAACUUAAAAUUAAUAAAUUAUAUUUAUAUAUUACUUCAAUUUCAUUUCACUUAUUUUAAUUUUUUUAUAUAAAAAUUAAAUAAUUUAAAAAAUUCAUAAUUUUUCUUUAGUAUUUCUCAUCAUACAACAAAAAAUAAAAAACUCAUUUUUCUUAAUAUUUUUUUUCUUUUCUUAAUUUUUUCGAUAACAAAACAUAAACCUAACAUGAUAUCUUCAAAAAAGCACUAUGUUCACAUAAAAUCCUUUUAUUAUAAAUAGUAAUAUUUUUAAAGGGUUAAUUUCAUUGACCUCUCGGUCCUUUCCUAAGAUUUUUGUUAAAUACACUUAUCUCUUCUUGAUUUAAAAUUUCAUUAUAUGUCUCUCUUAUCCUUCUCAUUUAAUAUUUUCACUAAUAUCCCCUUUAAUAAUUUUCAAACCAAUAGAGGUUAAUUGUAUUUAAUUAAAAUCUCGACGAAGGCCAAUGAAAUUAUCCCCAUUUUAAAAUUUUUAGUUAAGUAUGAAAAUUUCUCAUUGAUUCAUGAUUUUACGUUUUUUUUUAAUUGAUAAUAUUUUGAAAAUAUUUAGCUUUAAUGACAUGUUGCAUAUUUGUUAUAAAAUUAAUUAUAGUAAUGAAAAAAAUCCUAUUGAAGAAUCAUUAAAAAAAUGAUAUUUCUUGAUCUAUGUUAUAAUUUAUUUAUUUUUUUAAAUCAUAUAAACCCUAGGCUUUUUUUACUUCUUAUCUUAUUGUAAAUAGAUGGAAUUGAGUAGAAAUGUCACAUGGGAAAACUAUAGAAAAAUAACUCCAUCUUAUGUUUUCUCUUUCAACCUUAAAAAUAAAAAAUCAGUCCUUUUUUGGUAGAGACUACUUUCUUUGUAGAUGAAUUUGGACCAACAACCCAUUUAUGUAAUGAUUUUAAAUCAAAACCUAGAGCUUUUCAAAAGUGUGUUGAGUAUAUUAUCAUUAUAAAUUAUAAGAAUCUUUAUCAUGAUCUUAAUCAAUCUUUUCCCAUACCUUUUAAACCAUUUUUCUUUUCAUGCAAUGCAACACAUGCAUGCCAUAUAUCACAUAUCUUACAGAUUUGUUGGGAUUCUAUGCGGGUCCUAAUAUCUUAAAUUUUUGCUAUAUGUUCUUAUUACCACAUUUGUCAACAAGAAUUAUCGGAACAAAUUCUAAAACCUAUCUCUCUCAUGAUAAAAAGUUUAGGUAUUUUAAUACAUAGUUUAACCCAAACCUAAUUCAUAUUAAUGAAUCGUGUUUGUAUUAUACUAAAGUUUAGAUAUUCCAUUAUAUAGUUUAAUUUAGACCCGAUACAAUUAUUAAUCAUAUAAAAAAUAUAAACUCAAAUAUUACCUAAUUAUUAAAUAAGUAUCGUGUAACAUGUAUAAUCUAUUUAAUAAUCAAAUUAAUUGAAGUCUUAAUCAAUAUACUUAUGAUUUAAUUCACUUAUUUAUUUAAAAGCAAAUUUAAAAUAAGUCAAAUAUUAAUUAUAUAACUUAAAAAUAUAAUUAUAUUAGUAACAGAUAGUGAGAUGAGUUAAUUCGAGUCAAAUUUAUAUUAUAUAGUUAAUAUAAAAAUUAUUUAUUUAUUAAACGCAUAAUGUAUGUCCACACAAAUUUAACCCAAAAUCACCAAAAACUUGUUAAAUUCAUUUCACGAUGACGAAUCCUAAAUUUGGAAAUUUUCCUGGAAAAAGUUAGGAAGAAAGAUACGUUUGAACAUUUUCAACUCAUGAGGGUAUUUUUUUCUUCAUGGGGGCGAUUAGUUGAAUUAAUUUUCUUUGUAUAUAUACGUUACUUUUAAUGGAUGCAGCCUCAAACUUGGCAGUUUUUAAGUCUUAUCAAUCAGCUGUCGUAACAUUUAGUUUAGGCUUUUGUGGUUUUGAGAACAUGAUGUUUCUUAUUGAAUGCCACAUACUUUGUUUUAUAAAUCAUUUCCGGUUUUCCAAGUGUCGUGUGAGACUUCUCUUCCUUUUUGGUUGCGUCUUUCACAUGGACUACUGACCUUACAUUAAAAAUAACACCCUAUUUUGUCCUCUUCAUGCUCACCAGUCCUACCUUAAUUUCUUGAACUAUACUAUUAAUGAUUGUAAUAAUUUUUAAUUUAAUUAAUUAAUUAAUUAUUUUUAUUUUUUUUAUCAUUAAAGUCAAAACAACUUGCAAAGGGGUAGCAAGAAGUAUGCUAUUUGGCCCUUAAAGGGGAAAAAAAAUUAUUAUUUUGACUUUAAAGUGUGUAUAAAAAUGACGUGGAUCUUAGCAUAAUCUCAACCUCCAUAAUUGAAAAGAGUAAAAGGUAAUUAAAUAGAGAGAGAAUGUGGAACUUUGUGGCAUAAAAGAAUAUGAAAUCUACCAUUCAUUGAAUGGUUUCUAUUUUGACUUUUUUUUAUCUAUGGGUAUAUUACUUUAUAAGAAAGAAAUAUUCAUCAAUCCAAUUUCCUGGUUUCUUUAGAGGUGAGAUUGUAAAUGUCAUUGGCAUUAACUUUUAUUAAUCUUAUUUUUGGAUUUUUGGAAAAUUUAAAUUAUGUUUGGAUCUAGAAAAUCUAAAUAAAAAUGUAAAAAGAAAGAAAAUCAAAGAAAAAAUAUUUUAAUAUUUUUAUCUUGAAAUUGAAUCAUUUUAAGAUGUAUAAGUUUUUUUUUUUUUUUAUUUCUUAGUACGGCAGAGUUCCAAAAUGGCUUGAAGGGGGGUAAAUUUAGCUAUUAAUUUCAACGAAAAGUGAAAAAAAAUAUGUAUGUGUAACCUAAUGGUAAUAAAGGGUUUUUGACAUAUUUACGGUAAAUAAAAUAAAUAAAUAAAAACCAGGGGAUGUAUAUCCUAUAGACAUUCAUUAUAUUCGCAUUUGCUUUCAUUGUAAAACAAAAUAUGAGGAAAAUGUUUUCAUUAAUAAGAUUUUUUUUUUUUCAUAUUUUUCAUGAUAACAAUAUAACAUUAAGAAAACAUACGAGAGAAAAAAAGGUUUAAAAAAAUAAAUUUAAAAUUAAUAAAUUAUUGUUUAUUUUAUUUUUAAAUUUUAAAUAAAAAUUAAAUAAUUUGAAAAAAUGUAAAUUUUAAUUUAAUUUUAUUUAUUUUCUUUUUCAUAAUAAAGCAAACAUGAAAAGAAAAAAAAAUAGUAUUUGUUUCCAUUUCUCAAUACUUCACUGAAAUCAAACAUAGGGAAUUUAAUUAAAGAAGCACUCAACUUUAAGAAAUUUUUUUUUAAAAAAAGCCUUCACUUGUGGGUAUGGGUUGGAGGAGAUAAUAAUAGUAGAAUCAUGGAUUUAGUGGAAUUAAGAAGUAUUAGUGGAGGCUCAAUCAUGAUAAACAUCAAGCUUUAGAUAAAGUAGUGAGAAAGGAUAAUGAUGUAAUUUCCUAUAUAAAUGAUGGAAGAGGAUAUGGUUUCAUGAUUUGUAUAUAAAGAAUUGAUUGACGGGUAAGCAUACAGCCUGUGGGGGUGACUCAAAUUUUAUUAAAUAUUCCAGAUGUGGACAUGAGAUUCCCCUAGAAUAUGCUUUUAUUUAUUCAUUUAUUUAUUUGGAUAUUCCUUCUCUUUCUCUGUGAGAAGGCGCACAUGCUUAGGCCACGCUUUGUAAUUAUUUUAACACCUUAAGCAUGUGAAUGGUAAUGAGCACGACAAUAAAAAGUAAAAAUUAAAAAUCGUGUUAAAAAACACAUGUUUAAUAGCGAGUUAUCAAUCUAAUAUUUUUCAAUGAUUUUUUUUAAAUAUGAAAAUACGAUUAAUAACUUGGUUGUUUUCUCGUGUUUUCAAUAAAAAAAUAUUUAAAAUUAAAAAAAAAAAAAAAAAAAUACAUGAUAAUAUGCUUUGUUUUCAUUCAAAGCACCCCAUUUUCUCGUCAAAUUUGGUUUUUAAGAAUCGUUUUCAAAAUUUGUUUUCUUAAAGUUGUUUUCAAAAUCAUUUUCAAAUUUCAAUCAAAUACCGACAUAUUUUCUUUUACGUUUGAAAAAAAGAAAGCAUUUUGAUAAUUCAAAAUAAUUAGAAAGUGACUAAUUUUAAAUGCAAAAUUUCAAAGCCAUUAAAUGAUGUCAAAAUGAAUUUAAAGACAUGUUUGGAGGAGAAUCAAAUUUCUAAAUGAGUGUUUUAAGUAGGGUUGAUUUUGAAUUUUCACUUGUUGCCAUCCUAGCCCAUGCAUAAUUUAAACUAUGGAUAGAGAAUCGCAAGCAACAAAUCAAAGAAAAAAAUGUAAAAAUAAAGAAAUAAAUAGCUUGGUCCCCUUCGGUGGCUUGGGACUAGCCUUCAAGUUGGACGGGAUCGAGAAAGAAAAAAUAAAAAAAAAUAAGAAAUAGAUUUAAAUUUAAUACAUUAUUUUUAUAUAUUAUUUUAGAUUUAUAUAAAAUUUAAAUAAUUUAAAAAUAUAUAAAUUUAACUCAUUUUAUUUAAUUUUUUAUAUUUUAUUUAAUAAAACCAAAUAUAAAAAAUUAAAAUAAUUUUUUUAAUAAUUUAUAUAGAAUUACAAAUUAGGAAAUAAAUAUAGAUAUGUAUGUUAUCAAAUUAUGAUAUAACGUUAAAUUAUUAGUUUUCUUAAAAACGUAUGUGAUGAAUCAAAAGAUUUAUUAAAUGCAAAAAUAAAUAAAAUGACUAAUUAUUUCAUUAAAAUAGAAAUUUUAUAUUUUAUUUUUUAAUAGUUAAAAAUCUUCUUUAAUGAUUUUAAAAUUCAAAUAAUUACUUAUUGAGUUUUAAAAUCAUAAAAAUAUGAAUGAUUGUACUAAUAGGUGGUCGGUGACUUGUCUUAAAACAUUAUUGCUAAUACAAAGUGUUCGAAUGGACAAUGUACCCAAAAAAAAAAAUGUAUAAAAAUAUGAAAGAAUUAUGUUAUUGAGUAGAUGGGAAGUGAACAUUUGGCAAUAGUACUUUGCUUCAAGAAAAUCAGACUUCCAGACGAGAAUGACAAGCUAAUGACAAGCUUUUGAAGAUCAGUAUGCAACUGUGGAUUCAAAGAAAGCCAAAUAUUAUAUUCAAAACUAUUAUUAUAUUGAUGUGUCAUGUGUCAUGUGUCAUGUGUCACACACUUUAGCCCUAGCUCAAGAUAAACAAAUUUAAUAUUUAUAAAAAAAAUUAUUAUAUUUUUUUUCGGAUAUGGGUUGGGUAGAAUAAAAUAUGUAGUUAAAUUUGAAAUUUGCAGGAGGAUGGUGAGAUAAAGAGGGGUGAGCAUACCGAGUGAAACUGUGAAAAUGGCACGCGUACCAAAGCAACAGCGUGGAGCCCACGUGGAGAGUGCUGGUGAAGCGCAUGAGAUAAACGUGACAGGGUCAGGGCAAGGCAAGUUGGCCCUAUAUCAAGCCAAUCCAUGUCGGCCCCCUUUUAAUGUUAUAUGUUUUAAAUUUGUCAAGCGGGGAGGUAGCUGCACGUGAUUCAUGCUUUCAGUCGCUUCUCCAACGCGUUGAAAAUUCGCCACGCGUCGGCGUCCACAUCACCCGCCUGCCCUUUAGCCGCCUGCUCGUGUUACUAUUAUUAUUAUUUUAAAAAUAAAUAAAUAAUUUAAUUAAUGGACAUAAAGGCUUCAAAAUUGGCGGCUUACAAAAAAAGAGGGGGAACGCGGCGCGUUUCCUCUAUUGCGAUAUAAAUUAGUAAAUUACAGAAACUUCUUCAUUUGGGUGCGCUUUUAUUUUUCCUUUGACUGCGUGUGGAGUUGAGGACGAUUUCUUGACAUGCUGGAACUUUGAUGUCCAUUACGUCGCCAUCCAAGUUAUAAUUUAAUUAUUUUCCAUUCUCCCAUCCUGGCUUGAUUUAAUUUAUACUCAUUUCAUUAAAAUCAAAAUUUAUAAAUAGUUUCUAAUAAAUUUCAAGUAAAAAUUAAUAAUUUAAGAGAGUAAGGGAUAAGAAUCCUCCUUUAUCCUAAUGGGUACUCUUGUUAAACUCUAACUUCUUUCAUCAUUCAAGAAAAUGAAAAUUGUAUAUGCGAUAAUUUUAAGAUUUUCAAAUAUUCGACUUACUUUUCCAUUACAGAUAUCAAAUUCCUUUCAAAUCCCUAGUCCAUAUUUUCCUUCUCUUUAACCUUCAAAAAGCUUCAUGCAAACUUCUAAUCAACCUUUAAAAGUAUUCAUGUUUAGAGUCGAUCCAGCCCUAACAAUAUUUCAAUACUACCUUUUUUUUUUUUUUUUUCCAACUAUUCAAUAUGUCAAAAACCCUAAAACAUUAAAAAUUGCUUUUAUUGAACCUGAGUUCAAUUUUGUAGAAGUUUCUAAAAUCCUUCCUUGCAUAUUUCCUCAAUGAGUUAAUUUUAAUUCAAAUUAUCAUUUGAAAACUCGUAAAUUUUAUGAGUUUAUCUUAAUUGAUAUUGAUUCAAUCAAAAUUAUUCAUAUUACUGAUAAAAACAAUCUUCAGAGGAUUGCAUUCUCUAAAUGUCAAAUUCUUAGAGUCAUGACCCUAAUUGAUUGAAAUAAAAAAAACCCUUUACUUGUAAGGCUUUUAAUCAAUAUUUCCAUCCCAUGAGCUAUAACUACAAAGACUACAUGAAUGUCUGGUAUAACAUGUUCUAUCUGCAAAGUUAUUAGCAUUUAUAGUUUAUUCAAUUUUCAAGAGGCUGCAACACCCUAAUUUCCAGCUUGGUUUCAAAAAUGGUGGACUUUCUUUGGUUUACCAGACUCCAUUUUUCCUCUUGAAAUUCAAGAAAAAUUCAACUUCUAUAAGAGUAAGACUCUAUCUCAGUCUAUUACUCAAUUGAGACUCUUGAUAUUCUGUUCUAGAAUAAGAAUUCCAUGAAUUUUUACAUGGAAUAUCAUUAAGAAGCAAGAACAACUUCCUCAUUUUCUAUUAUCACUCUCAACAAUAAAUUUGUUGUUAUUAUAUUGGAUAAAAGUUAACAUAUAAAUUUAUAUUUUAUGCUCAUUCAAUUUUUAGUUUUUUACUAAUCAUUGUUUUAAAUAAUUUUUUUGAUAAUAAUUUUGAAGAUCAAUUUGUUGAAAUAUUAAUAAUUUAAUAUUUGAAGAAUUAAUUUUUAAUAAUUAGAAUUUUUAGUUUUUUACUAAUCAUUGUUUUAAAUAAUUUUUUUGAUAAUAAUUUUGAAGAUCAAUUUGUUGAAAUAUUAAUAAUUUAAUAUUUGAAAAAUUAAUUUUUAAUAAUUAGUAAUAACUGGUAUCAACAAUGUGUAUUUUAAUAAGAAAUAUAAAAUAAAUAGAUAAAAAAAUUUAAUAUUUAUUAUGGUAAAUAUUAUUCAUAAAAAAUCAAUUUGAAUUGAUAUAAUAAUAAAUACUUUGAAUUAAUAUAAUAAUAAAUACUUUGAAUUAAUAUAAUAAUAAAUAUACUAUACAUUUACAUUGGUUUUAUUAAAUAAAUUAGUUAGAGGACAUCAAUGGAAAUAAACAACAAAAGGAGGGUAUUAUAGCAAAAAAAAAAAAGUCUACAAACACUUCAUAAUAUAUAUAUAUAAUGUAGAUUUUAAAAUAAAUAAAAUAUAUUAAAAAAAUAGAUAAAGGGAUAUCAAUGGAAAAAAUUAAUAUAGAAUCAAUUUUUGAAGGGCUUUAACCAUCAAACAAAACUUUAGGCUCUUACAAUGGAUUAGAAAAUGAUAAAGCAUUAAAUUUUUAGUUUGUUUUACCAGUUGGUCAAUCAAGGUUGAAUGAGGUUUAUAAACCUCUUUUCAUCUUCUUGAAUUUCCGAUGUGGGAUGAGUACGGUAGCUUAUUUAAACAAAAUUCAAGUUGAAUGUGCAUAGAAGGAAGGCUUGAAACUUAUACUAAAGCUUCAAGAUAAUGUAAAACAACUAAUCUACUAGACACCUAAAGUUGUUAAGAAUUGUAAAAAUAAAAAAAUUAAAAUAUGUAUGUUAUUUCAAAAAUUCAAUAUAAAUAAAAUAAUCUAAUAUUUUUAAAACUUAUAUAUGGUGAAAUUAUAUAAUACAAAUUUUCUUCCAUUUUCAAUAUAUAUUUUCAUAUUUAAAUAUUGUACAUAUUUUAUUUAAUAAAAUUUCAAAUACUAAUACAUUUAUAUAAAAGAUGAAAAAAUAAAUAUUAUUCAUUUUUAAUUUUAUAUAUAUUUAUUAAUUUAUUAAAAUUAUUUUUAAUUUUAAUAAAAUACAUAUUAUAUUUUUAUGACAUCACCAAUUCAACCAUUGAUUCGAUUAGUGAAUUGUGAACUAGAAACUUUUUCAGUUUAAUGACCAACUUGGAUUUUAAAACAUUGAUUAUUAUAUAAUUGAAUAGAUAUUAUUUUUUUUGUUUUAAAUUUAGAUCUAAAGAAAUAAAUCAAUUCGCAACAAUAGAUAUUUGUGAAUUUUUUAUUUUUAAGAAGCUUUUUAUUGAGUAAAUUAAUCAAAAUAAGAGCAUAAAUUAUUAUUAAUGUUUUUUUAUAGAAAAACUUAUAUCAUCUUAAAAUAUUAAUUUUUUAAUAAAAUAACAAUAAUAAUAACAAAAAUAGGAACUUAGGAUUUUUAUAUCGAGAUUCAAGACAAGAAGUUUCAACAUUCCUCAUAUGAAAAAAAAAAUGUGGAACCUUCCAAAGGGAGUGGUCUAAGCCUCAUGGUUACAACUUGCCAUACACAUGAAAGAAAAAAUCGCGUUUAAAAUUUGGAUUUGAAAAAAAGAAAUUAAUUCAAAAUAAUUAUUUUUUAUAUUUAUUUGAUUUUUAUCUAAACAUAUUUUUUUUAUUGAAUAAAUUAAGAAUGAAAAUUUAAAUUAUGAUAUAUUUUUUUUAAAAGUGAAUCAUUAUCUAAAUCAAGUUUUUUUUAUCAACAAAUUUUGGUAAUAAUAUUUAUUAUUGUUGUAAAAUAAAAGACUUAGAAGAAGGAAAAGAGAAGAGAAUAAAUGUGAAUGCUCAUGGAAAAAUAGAAUUUUAAGAAAGAAAACUAAAUGAAUAUCUCGUUAGAGGUAUCCCCUUUUUAUAAUGAGUCACAAAUAGAUUUACAUUGAUAUGGACAAUCAUUUACGAGUUCCUAGAAUUUGAUAAAUUCUCAUAUUUUAUAACACCACCUUUGGAUGAUUCUAAAAAUAUGUCUCAUUAAAACCUUACUAAGAAAAACCUAGUGGAAAAAACCUUAAUGAAGGAAAAAUAUUACAAUAUCCUUUAAAUGCUUUAACCAUUUAAAACUAUUUUAUUAAAAACCUUGCCAAUAAAACCCGAUAAGAUAAAACUUGGACAAAAGAAAAAGAAUGUAGUAUAUCCAUAUAAUAUUCCCCUCUCAUGUAGACAUGAUUAUGCUUUCUUCAACAGGAAGAUCUCUCAAUUUCUAUAUUACAAUACUGCAUCUUAACAUUUUCAAAAUAAUUAAUGGUAACACUUUUAUGAAUAGAUAUGCUAGAUUAUCACAUGACUAGAUUUACUGAAUAUCAAUUUCACCAUUCUCUUAGAACUUGUGAGUAUAGAAGAAAUUGUGGGAGAUAUGCUUAAUUCUAUCACCUUUUAUAAAUCCUUCUUUAAAUUGCGUAAUAUAAGAAACAUUAAAUAUCAUGUAACUUGGUAGCAUGAUCUUUAAUGAAGGAUAGUCCACAUGAUUUCUAAAUAUGUUGGAUCAUUGACCUUAGUACACAUUCACGAUUUGUUUUAUGAAUUGAGAGUAUCUUUGAAUGAUCUAAAAAGGUGAUCAUCAUCAUUGCUUGAUUGAUCUGCAAGAUACCAUAAUAUGUGUUUGACUAUAUCUGAAUGUCUUUUAGUUGUCUCCAUAGUUUAAACAUAAUAGUGAAGUGACAAUCAAAUCAACUUUGAAUUUUAACAAAUUAAGAAUCUCUAAUCUCUAUAAUCCGAUUCAAAAAUAAAAAAUUUUCACAAUUUCUUCAUAGUUUCUGGUUAUGAAAACACAUAAAAUUCAUAUAGCUUCAGACUAUGAGUCAUAUAAAAAUUUUUAUAUGCAUGUAUAAGAUAAUAGCUUCAAGCUUUGAAAAUUUAUCACAAUUAUAUUCUUCUUCAUAGCUACAAGUUAAGAGAAUUUCUCAUUUAUAUGAUUCCACAUAUAUUGCUUAAUUAGAAUUGUAUAAAAAGAAAAACUAAACUAAGAAUAAAAAUUAUACAAACAUUCCAUAAUAUUAAUUAAUAAUAAAAAUAAAAGAGAACAAUUUUGUCAUAAUUUCUUAUUUAUGAACUCAGCUUCCAUAGUAGAAGUAGCAGUCAAGGUCUGCUUAACGCUCCUCCAAGAUAUAGCUCCACCGGCCAAUAUAAAAAUGUAUCCAGAUGUUGAUUUACGGGAAUCAACAUAGCCAGCAAAGUCUGAAUUUGAGUAGCUAACAACCUUUAAAUUGCUUGUCCGUCAGUACAUAAGCUUGUAGUAUUUGGUUCCUUGAAGAUAUCUCAUCACUUUCUUUGCAACUCUCUAGUGGUCCAAACCUAGGUUACUCUGAUAUCGUCCUAACAUUCCAACAACAAACGCAAUGUCAAGCCUUGUGUAGACCUGAGCAUACAUCAGACUUCUGACUACAGAAGCAUAUGGAAUCUUCUUCAUAUGUUUCCUCUCAAGAUUGUUUUUCGGGCAUUGGUUCAGAUUGAACCUAUCACCCUUCACUAUGGGAGAAACACUAGGUGAACAAUUCUUCAUUCGAAAUCUCUUUAAAACUUUAUUGAUAUAGGUUUCCUGAGACAGACGUAAAAUACCUUAAAAUUUGUCUCUAUGGAUCUUAAUGCCAAUGACAUAAGAUGCCUCACCCAUAUCCUUAAUGUCAAAAUUUUUAGAGAGGAAUUGUUUCACCUCAUGAAGUAAACUCUUAUCAUUGGUUGCAAGUAAGAUGUCAUUCACGUAUAAAACAAGAAAACAAGCUUUACUUCCACUAACCUUAAGGUAUAUGCAUUGAUCCAUAACAUUUUCUACAAAACCAAAUGAAGAAAUUACGUUAUGGAAUUUUAAAUACCAUUGGCGGGAUGCUUGUUUUAAACCGUAUAUGGAUUUCUUGAGCUUGCACACUAUUACUAGAAGGGAAUCCUUCAAGUUGUUUCAUGUAAAACCUCUCCCUCUACCUUUCCAUUAAGAAAUGCAGUUUUCACAUCCAUUUGUUGCAACUCCAAAUCAAAGUGGGCUACUAAUGCCAAUAUAAUGCGUAAGGAAUCUUUCUUAGAUACAAAAGAGAAGGUCUCCAUGUAAUUGAUUCCUUCUUUCUGAGUAAACCCCUUUGCAACAAGUCUGGCCUUGUAUUUCUUAAUGUUGCCUAAUGAGUCUUUCUUUGUCUUAAAGACUCAUUUACAACUAAUGGAUUUUGCACCAUUGGGCAACUCAACAAGGUCACAUACAUCUUUGCACCUCAUGGAACUCAUCUCAUCCUUCAUGGCAUUAUACCACAAUUGUGAUUCUUUGUAACUCAUGACUUGUGAGAAAGAUUCAGGAUCAUUUUCGACUCCUAUAUUGUAGUUAGAUUCUUGUAGAUACACUAUAUAAUCACUAGGAAUUGUUGACUUCUUAGUUCGAGUAGACCUUCUUAAGGUUGCACCAUUAUCUUUUAGAGAAGUAUGAGGUUCAACUUGUUGUUCAAAAGUGCCAGGCAACUCCUGAUCAACUUGAUCUAUUGAAAUGUUGUCAACAACUUGUGGAACUUCAAUGACUGGUUGGUCUUCAGUGAUUGGUUGAACUUCAACGAUUGUUUGUUCUACACCCGUUCGAACUUGAGGGGUGUUAUGAACAACAAAAAAUUUAUCACUCGAAGUGGAAAGUUGAGACUCUGUAUGAUCAAAAUCAAAAACUAUGUUUCUGAAUUGAUCGCUCCCACUGACUAAGUCAUAUUCAAGAAAUUUAGCAUUUUUUUAUUCCACAAUCCUAGUGCUAUGAGAUAGACAGUAAAAUAUGUACCCCUUAGACCUUUCAACAUAUCCAAUGAAAUACCCACUUAUAGUCCUUGGGUCUAGUUUCUUCUCUUGCGGAUUAUAAAUUCUCACUUCAAACAAGCAUUCCCAAACGUGCAUAUGUUGCAAACUCGGUUUCCAACAUUUCUAUAACUCAAAUGGCGUAUUCGAGACAACCUUGGUUGGAACUCGGUUUAAUAUAUACAUUGUCGUCUUAAGUGCUUUAGUCCACAAAAAUCUAGGAAGUUUUGAGCUGCUCAGUAUACUCCUCACCAUGUUCAAUAAAGUUCAGUUUCUUCUCUCUGCUACACCAUUUUGGUUUGGAGAACCAGACAUGGUAUAUUGGGCAACAAUCCCAUGUUCUUGAAGAAACUUCACAAAUGACCCAGGUGCUUGUCCAGCUUCCAUGUAUCUACCAUAAUAUUCUCCACCUCUAUUUGAUCUCAUGAUCUUAAUUUGUUUACCGCAUUGUUUCUUUACUUUUGCCUUGAAAACCUUAAAGACAUCUAAUGCUUCAUUUUUGUUGUGAAACAUGUAGAGAUACAUGUAUCGUGAGUAAUCAUCUAUGAAAGAGAUGAAGAAUUUCUGACAAUGAGAGUCCAUGUCUAGACUACAUAUAUCAGUAUGUAUGAUAUCUAAUAUGGCAGAACUCCUAGUAGCACCUUUCUUUGACUUGUUGGUUUGUUUUCCUUUAAUGUAGUCCACACAACUCUCAAAGUCAGUAAAAUCAAGAGUACUAAGUCCCCCAUCAUUUACCAACCUUUUGAUUCUAUCUAUGGAGAUAUGACCUAAUAUCUAGUGCCAUAAUAUAGAGGAAUCCUCAUUUACAACACAUCUCUUAAUGCUAGUUUGGACAUGUAAUGAAUUAUAAGUGGUAUAAUUUUGUAAGAAUAUGCGAUAAAGACCAUAAGACAAAAUAAUAUUUCCAACACAAUUAGAUUUAUAUGUCAAACUGAAAGAUGUUUAUGAAAAAUGAAAGGAAUAUCCAAAAGGUACAAGUCUUGAAACUAAAAUCAAGUUUCGUGAGAAAUUUGGUACAUAAAAGGUCCUUUGCAAUUCUAAAACAAAACCACCAUCUAAAGUUAAAUAACACGUCCCUAUUGCUUCCACAUAUGAGCCCAUCUUGUUUCCGAAUAAGAUGAAUUGCUCACUUCUCACUAGCUUCCUUAGGUUUUGCAUACCCUACAAGGAAUUUGAAAUGUGGAUUGUAGAUCCAGAAUCAAUCCACUAUGUGUUGAUAUUUACGUUAACCAUAUUAGAUUCAUAACAAACAAACGAGGUAGGGUUACCUUUCUUCUCAAGCCAUUUUUGGAAUUUCAGACAUUUCUGCUUCACGUGUCCCUUCUUUUUACAGAAGAAACACUUUUCGUCUUUCUUAAUGUCAACUUUGGGAGGAAUUUGAUGCUUCAUUUUCUGACUAGUUUGAGAUUUUCCUUUCUUUUGCGUUACCAACACGACACUUUCUCCUUGCUCCAUCAUUAACCUUCCUUCCCCUUGAACACACAUGGUCAUCAAUUCAUUGAUAGACCACUUAUCCUUAUGUGUGUUGUAAGAGAUUUUGAAAGGUCCAUAUUGAGGCGAAAGAGUAUUGAGGAUAAAGUGCACCAAAAAGGAUUCACACAUUUCUACCUCAAGCUUCUUCAGUUGAGCCACUACGUCCCUCAUUUCCAUGAUGUAUUCGCGUACACCUUUUAUAUCGGUGAACUUUAGGGAUGUGAACUUCAUAAUUAGGGUGUUCGCCAAGGCUUUAUCCGAAGUGAUGAAUUGCUCAUCAAUAGCCUUUAGCAAUUCAUGGACAUUCUCGUGCUGCUCGAUUGAACCAUGUAUACCAGCACUAAUCUUAGUCUUAAUAUACAUCACGCUGAGGCGAUUAGAUUUUUCCCAACGUUCGUAUAAUAGAAUUUGAUCAGGUGUGAUGGUAUCACUGAUCUUAAGUGGUUCAUCUUUUUUGAUGGCAUAAUCUAUGUCCAUGCACUCCAAUUGAAUAAGAACUCUCUCAUUCCAAAUCUUAAAGUUAUCCCCCUUAAGUUUAGGAACCUUACAACAAAUAUUAGAAAUAUUAGGUAAAACUACACAAAAAGAUUACAAGCUUAUUAAUAUUUGAGGCUUAAAAUAAAUUCAUGUUUUACUAAUGUAAAACAUGCUUAAAAUUUGAAUCUAAUUUUAUUAAAAUUUGUCUGUAGGUUAAAUAUCUAAUUCAAUCAUAUUUAUUAUCUUUAUGAUAGAUUUUAUCAAACUAUUUUUACUUAAUUCAUAAUUUUAAUGUUUAUUAUGAUUAUAGUUUGAUAUCUUCUAUCUUUAAACUUUAUGAUAAACUAUUAAAUUAAUUAUUCCUAACUCUUGUGGGUAAAUUAGGAAAAACUAAUUUUAAUAUUUUAUCCUAAUUAAUUAUAUAAACAAAAUAAAAUCCCUAUGGGGCAAAAUCGCUAUAUUUUUAUAAUUAAUUACAAUUAAUAUUCAUUAUGUGAUCCUUAUCCACUUAAUAUAUAAUUUUAUAUAAUUAAAGAUGUUGUGACUACUUCUUAAUUAUUUAAAAUUAUAUGAUUCACUAGACAUUAAAAACUAUAUUUUAGGCUCUAUUUAAUACCUAAGAAUAAUUAUGCAGUAAAAUAAUAGGCAACCACAAAGUUGUUAAUGAAUUAUUCAUAACUUAAUUGUUCACCCCAAAUAAUUAUUUUAAUUAAUUUGUGAACAGUUUAUGAAUCUUAAUGUGCUAAAUAAUUUUAACUAAAAUUAUAUGUUAUAACUAUAAUUUAUCUAGCACAAUUUAGGCAAUAUUGCAUGCAAAUAAAAUUAUAAAUUUACAUAUACAAUAACUUAAAUAAAUUGUACCAACAUAAUAUUGGCAUGAAUAAUACAAACAUACAAAUUAGCACAAAUCAAACUCUAAUAUCUCACGGAAGGUGGUGUAGUACUGAAGAAAAUCUUAAGAGACAAGUUCAAGGACUAAAAUGAUAUAUUUAGAGUUGUGAUUUCCCAUCAAAACCACGUCGUUGUCGUUGUCAUUGCCACAAUUUCAAAACAGUUAUGGGUCACGUUCUUGGACUAUAGGGAAUGUGGAAGACUUGGUUAGAGGUGUUGGACCACCUCAGAUAAACUCCUACAAUUAAUAGACAUUAUUACCCAUUUUGUGAAACGAGUCUUGUGGGCGUGUAACAGAAAUAACAUUAAUAACAACACUUUUUUCCUUUCUUAUCCACUUCUUACCUAGGACAAACACUUGGAGAAUCUUCCUCCAAUCCCCUAAAGAUUUCAUGGUUUGACUAAAACAAAAAGAAACAUGAUGGUUGGAGGUUGCUUAAUGUGCUUAUUCUAUAAGCCAAUAAUUAAACCAUGAUAUGCACGGAUAUAAGGUGAGACAUCUUUAUCCACAAUCAUCAAGAAAUUUCUAAAGUUUUUUAGGAUAUAUGUUUAGGUUAUUGUAAAGGAAUAUUUUUUGUUCAAUUUUUUCAUAUAUCUUUUUUCAUUUUUUUUUUAUAAAAAUAAACAUGAACUAACUCAUUUGAUAGGGUACUCAAGAUUGCGUGACAAAUUUUAUUGAAUAUAUGAACAAAUAUGAACAAAUAUGAAAAUAUAGAAAACCAAAAUUUGAAUAGUGAAGAAAAUCACAUUAGUUGUUACUUAAAUAAGUGAAAAAGAUUUUCUAUAUUUUAUUUUUUUUAAUAUAGAAAAAUAUUUUCCACUUAUUCAAGAAUAAUUCCUCAUAGUUAGGAAUUAUCGGACAAUUUUUUUUUUCUCACCCACUUUCUAGGUGGGAUAGGAAACUCAGGCAAUGUUUCUUCAUGUAAUUGUCAUAAUUGAAGUUGUUUAAUUGCAACAGCCAUCACAUGAAAAUUUGGACUACAUCCCACAACAAAAUAUAAAAUUUUAGGUUAUGUUUGGUUAGCAAAAAUUGAGAAAAAAAUGGAGGGGAAAGAAAAUAAAGAAAAAAAAAAUAAAAGAAAAAAAAAAGAUUUAAAGUCAAUAAAUUAUUUUUAUAUACUAUUUUAAAUUUAUUUCAUAUUUUUUUUCUCUUUUAUCUAAAGAUUAAACAGGUUUACGAUGAAUUUGAAAAAUCUUUAAAACUCGGGAUAAGUUUGACUAUGAAUUUAUUAUUCAAUCUUGCCCCGAUUAUACAUAAUAUUCAAUAAAAAAAUUAUUUUAUUGAUUUUUUUUCAAUUUCAACUUUUUUAAUAUAUAAAAAAUAUUAUUUUUAAUAAAAAUAAAUUAUAAAUAUUUAUAAUAUUUAUUUAAUUAUAAAUUGUGUUUGUUUUUUAAUAGAAUUUAAUAUUUAAAAAAUAAAAAAUUAAAUGGGCCAAUAUGGAAAAUUUCCAUACCUACCCCACCCCACCUUGAAUAAAUUUUUUUUAGUGGUAAAAAAGAGAAUUUAUUUAAAUGAAAAAUAAGAGAUUGGGAUGAGAUGAACUCUUCUGUAUUUGUCCCGUUGUCAUCUUAUGGAUAAAUCCUAUCUAAUAAUUGUAUCCAUGGUUUUGGCAUGGAAGCGAAAGAAGUAAACAAAGAACAAAUCCAAACGGAAAUGGUUAAGAAGAAGAGUAGGUGCGUAGAAAAUAGUAUAAAAAGAGAGGAGAUAUAGAUUGGGUAUUUAUAAAACUCCCAAUCUCUUAAAUAUAAAUAAUAAUAAAAUUAUAAGAUAUAUAAGUAAAAGUUUGAUGUCAUAAUUUGAUUGAUAUGUGUUAUAUAGGGUGGGCGUUGGCGGCUUGAAACUUGAAAAGCGUGGUGAUGGAGAGACGAGGAUCAGUAAAGUGGGAGGGGCAUUUAACUAGUACGGAUAUUAAAAAAAAUGAUACUUCCAAAAAAAAUUCUUAAAAUAUCGCGGUUAUAAAAUUAUUGAUAAAUCUACUAUAUUUUUUGCUACUUUAAAAGGUGUUUUUUGAAGAGAUAUAUUCCGUAUUUUUUAUAUCAACGAUACAUGUUAAAAAAAAUUGAAUUUACAUUAAUGGUGUCUUUUCAAGAGACAUCUUUCAUAAUUCCAUAAAAUUAAAUUUGUGCUAAAUGAGUUUCUUCGAAAGACACUUUUCCUAUAUUUUUUAUUAGUCAUACGCAUUAAAAGAAAUUGAAUUUAUACUAAAGAAUUAUCAUUUCUACAAUACCAUAAAAUUAAAUUUAUAUUAAAGGUGUCUUUUCAAGAUAUCUUCUACAAUUUUCAUAUCAGUCACACAGUGAAAAAAAAUGAAUUUACAUUGAAGACGUCUCUACAAUUAAACAAAAUUGAAUUUAUAUUAAAGAAAUAUCAUUUCCAUAAUACCAUAAAAUUAAAUUUAUACUAAGCUUAUAUUUGGUUCUUGGAAAGUACUAAAGAAAGAAAAAAAUUAUUAAGGAAAAUAAUUUUCUCAUGUUUGGUUAUCUUAUAAAAAAUAAUAUAUAAGUAAGAUUAAUUAAAAAUUUAUAUAUUUUCAAAUUAUUUAAUUUUUAUAUUGGAAAGUGAAAAUAAGUAAAAUGAGUUUGAAGUAAUAUGUAAAAAUAAUUAUUGAUUUUAAAUUCAUUGCUAUUUUUCCUCGUUUUUUCUUUCCUUCCAUUUUUUAUUUCUAUUUUCUUUUCCUUACAUUUUUCGGGAACCAAACAUAACCUAAAGGUGUUUCUUGAAAAGACAUCUUCCACAAUUUUCAUAUCAGUUACACAAUAAAAAAAAAAUGAAUUUAUAUUGAAGACAUUUCUAUAAUUAAAUAAAAUUGAAUUUAUGCUAAAUGUGUCUUUUAAAGAAACACUUUUCAUAAUUUUUAUAUUAGUUACCUAUUGAAAAAAUUAAAUUUAUACUACAAGUAUCUUUCGAAAGAAAAUCUUUCAAUAUAAAUUUAAUUUUAUAAAAGUAUGAAAUAUGCCUUUUAAAAAUAUAUUUUUAGUAUAAAUUCAAUUUUUUCAUUAUACAAUUGAUAUGAAAAUUAUGAAAAAUAUCUAUUUAAAAGACAUUUUUAAUAUAAAUUUAAUUUUAUAGAAUUUUAAAAUGUGUCACUUAGAGAGACACUUUUAAGGUAAAUUCAAAUUUUUUUAAUAUGUAUUAUUAAUAUAAAAAUUGUAAAAUGUGUUUUUUGUCUUUUUUUAAUGUAAAUUCAAUUUUUUUAAAUAUGUACCAUUGAUAUAAAAAUAAUAAAAGAUAUUUUUUAAAAUGCCAUAAAGUAAUAUAGAUUUGAAAAUAUUUUUUAAUGUAUUAUAAUUUUUUUAAUUAAUUUUAAAUUUACCGUACAAUUCUGAAAAAGCCGGGCAGGCAGCAUGUGAGGGAAAGGCAGGGCAGCAAUGGGCACGAGUUUGGCGUGAGAAGAACUAGGCGUGUGGGACCCAUUAUUAUUUUUCAAUUGAGUAAUUAAUUUUGUUAUGAUUAUGAAUAAAAAUCUGAUUUGGGCUCCCCAGGAUAUACACGUGAUAUCUAUGUUCGUGGAGCACCACCACCACCAUCGCAUUCGUCAUUCAGUGCCUGUGGGGGCUGCAUUGGGACAACCGCCUCCACGUGGUUCAUGCACACUCUCAUCUACUUUUUUUCCUUUUCAACCCUCCACUCAUUAUCGUUCCACACUCCCCCUCCCCCAUCCAUAUCCCACCUUCCAAACCAUAUUAUUUUUUAUUUUUCACGUUACAAAAAUCAAACAUUAUUCAAAAUUAAAAUAUAUUCCUUUUUGCUUAUGAUUUUCGAAAAUAUUUUUUUUUUAUUUUAAUAUAAGAUAAAUAGUAAAAGGAAUGAACCAUUGGGGAAAAAGGGGCCACGGUGCAUCGAAUCUAUGAUAUGAAUUUUGAACCACGAAAACAAAGGCUGAAUGAUUGUAUCAUGAGGAGAGGGUGACAAUGACAGCCCUUAUUGAUUUUGAUUUGUGUGUCUUUCCCUUUGCAAUUUAAAACGUGCUUGUGUGUAGAAAAUUCUGUGAAGAGACAGAUAGAUAGAAAGGGGAAAAUGGAGAGAGAGAGCAUGUGGGAUUCUGAACAUUUUUCCCUUUUGGUCAAGCAGUGACUCAUUGUUUAGGACGAGACCUGCAGGUUUUGAAGGGCCCUCAGGAGACUUCCCUCGCCCAAAAUGACACCAUUUCUUCAUUCAUCGCCACCUCUCCACUCAGACAGUUUGUGAAAACUAUACCAAAAUGUCAACCAUGAAUGAGGGGGUUUGAAAGCAGAAAAUGGAAGCCUUAAUGGGCUACCCCAGAAGGGAGGAAAAUAAAUGGUUUUACUUUGGAAAUUUGCCAGUUGAGGGAAGUGGAGGGGAGGGUUGUUUGAUUUGGGUUUGUGUCAGAAAUUGGCCAAAAGUUUGGAACCCACAAGCUUCAGGGUUUUGAUAUUCAUAUAAGCCAUGUGGCACGGUUAGUUACCAGAAAUCAUGAUGAUAUUUGUUAGGGUGCUACAAUGGGGAGCGUGUGGUCCCUUUUUGUUUUGGUAUGGGGGUUGAUUAGCGAGAGCCACAUGCCUUCCUUUUUAGUAUAUAUAUAU